RNAcentral lists this ribosomal RNA (513 nucleotides) under uncultured bacterium. RNAcentral's name for it is "partial 16S ribosomal RNA". It matches the Rfam family "Bacterial small subunit ribosomal RNA", at positions 28 to 523 of the family's 1533-position model. The record is from RNAcentral.
GAUGAACGCUGGCGGCGUGCCUAAUACAUGCAAGUCGAACGCACAGCGAAAGGUGCUUGCACCUUUCAAGUGAGUGGCGAACGGGUGAGUAACACGUGGACAACCUGCCUCAAGGCUGGGGAUAACAUUUGGAAACAGAUGCUAAUACCGAAUAAAACUCAGUGUCGCAUGACACAAAGUUAAAAGGCGCUUUGGAGUCACCUUGAGAUGGAUCCGCGGUGCAUUAGUUAGUUGGUGGGGUAAAGGCCUACCAAGACAAUGAUGCAUAGCCGAGUUGAGAGACUGAUCGGCCACAUUGGGACUGAGACACGGCCCAAACUCCUACGGGAGGCUGCAGUAGGGAAUCUUCCACAAUGGGCGAAAGCCUGAUGGAGCAACGCCGCGUGUGUGAUGAAGGCUUUCGGGUCGUAAAGCACUGUUGUAUGGGAAGAACAGCUAGAAUAGGGAAUGAUUUUAGUCUGACGGUACCAUACCAGAAAGGGACGGCUAAAUACGUGCCAGCAGCCGCGGUAA